AAGUGCCCUGUGGACUAUUUUCUUAUAAGCCCUGCAUUUUGUCAGGAGAUGAGAAGAACAAGGCACAACUCUUGGGCCUGGGGAGCUUCCAGGCCUUCUGAAGGUCCACUCCCAGGUGAAAUAGACGCGUGGCCAUCCUGUUGGUGUUUAGCAGGUAAAGAGACUGGUGUGACCUGUAAUAGUCUAGGAGAAGGCUGGAGCAGGUGGCCUAGGAUUUCACCUUGUUAUGGUUUGGAUUUUAGUUUUCCCCCAAAUUUCAUGUAUUGCAAUGAGGGCAUGUUCAGAAGCGAAUUGGAUUGUGGGAGCGGUAGCCUCAUUAGUGGAUGAAUCCAUGAAAAAUCAAUAAUUUGGAUGGACUAACUGGGUGAUUACCGUAGGCAGGUGGGGCAGGACUGGAGGAAGUGGGUCCCUGAGGGCAUGGACCAUGUCGGUCCAUGGCCCCUUCCAGGCUGCCAUAAAGAUGAGCAGCCUUCUUCUGUCUCAGCCUUCUGCUGCGAUGUCCUGCCUCACCUCAUGCCCAAAGCAAGGAGUCAUCAAACCAGGGACUGCACCUCUGAAACUAUGAGCCAAAAAAACCUUUUCUUCCUUUAAGUUGUUCUUAUCAGAUAUUUUGAUCAUAGCAGCAAAAAACUGUCUAAUACACACCUGGGACAGCAUUUGUGGUUUAAUGGAAAGAACCUUGGACUGGGAAUUGUAAAGCAUAGGUUAGAAUCUUGACUUUCUUACUUAUUCACAGGUUGAGCCCUGCCUCUUUCUCCUCCUUCUCCUCCUCCUCCUCCUCCUCCUUCUUCUUCUUCUUUUUUUUUUUUUUCAGUACUGAGGAUUGAACCCAGGGGUGCUUAACCACUGAGCCACAUCUCCAUUUUUUAUAUAUUUUUUGGAGCAAGGUCUUGCUGAGUUGCUGAAUGCCUCACUAAGUUGCUCGUACUGGCUUUGAACUUGUGAUCCUCCUGCCUCAACCUCCAAAGCCUCUGGGAUUAUAGGUGUGCACCACCAUGCCUAGCUUAGCCCUGCUUUCUGCAUCCAUAUGAUGUAACUUGGAAUAAUAUAUAUAUAUAUAUAUAUAUAUAUAUAUAUAUAUAUAUAUAUAGAGAGAGAGAGAGAGAGAGAGAGAGAGAGAGAGAGAGAGAAGAAGAAUGGACUUUCAAGAUAGGUCUGCUGCAUCUGAAUCCUACUUCCUCUUCUUCUCCAGAGCUCCAUUUUCUCUCCCGGGGAAUGAUAUGCUUCAGGUAGAGGCAAAGUGGUCUAACCCAAACUUGGCCAAAAAGGAUCAUUUUGAGUCUCAACACUGAUCCUUGGUGAGACAGACAGGCGACAUUUGUCACAGGGCUGGGGGUGGUUUCCUGAUUCCCACCCAUGCUCCCCAAUCCCCAUACACACUGGACAAGAUACUACAGGUCUUAGCACUGGAACCAAGGGAGGGAGACCACCAAAGCUGGCCCAGAAGGUAAAAGGAGCCAGUGAAAAGCAUCUGGGGACUCUAAUGGGGAUGGAAGUUGGGGGGGAAGUUAGGAUGUGUUGGUGAUUUUAUGGUUCGGCUUGACCCUAGAAAGAUGCCUCCCCUUUCCCCCAAAAGUGACUUAGCCAGGCCCGAUUGCGUGAUUCAGUCUGGUUCUGUGAGACAGACAGGAAGCCUGGGCUGAAAUCUGCUAGUUAUUUCCAAAACAGACUGAGUGACUAUUAUGUGCUAGGCACUGAUAAAUUUCUAAUACUUAAAAAAAAGCCCAUAGGAUCUAAUCAUUGUGUAUCUCCAAAUAUUCAUUUCCUGCGUAAGAAAGAGACUUGAGGUCAUUUUUUUGCGGGGGUCAGAUGGGGUUACCCAGAGAUACAUAAUGAAACCACGGGCCGGGAAACCAAGAGUGGAGGUGGAGGCGGCUGAUGGAGGUGGGUGCUGCCUGCUGUCACAGACAGGAAGUUCAGCCGCCUUUGAGCUCAAGUGGCACCUGCCUGUCUAACUCAGUGGGCAGUGUGUGUGUGUGUGUGUGUGUGUGUGGCCUCUGUGGAAUCUGACCAGGCAGUUAUGAGACUUGGGAGGGUGCCCUUUGGAGACCCUUGGCUUCCUAGGUGGAAAUGUCCCUGCCAUUACUGACCUUUUCAUGCUGCCAAUCCUGGCCCACUAGAGGGAAGGCCGGGGGUCUGAUGUCUGCCCAGGUGUAAUGGGGCGGAAGCGUCACCCUGAGAGGUAAAGCUUGGUGAGGCUUCAAACAUUGGUCUGAAUCUGUGGGGAAGGGAGAUUUAUUAAGGCACCUUUGGGUGGCCUGCUCGGCACUGGAGGGGCAAGAAUUCUGUCCUAGUUCAAAAUGUGGGCUGCCUCUCCCUCUCCUCAUCUCUCAGAUCAUUCUCGGGUACUUGCUUGUCUUUGUGAGCAGGCAAAGGCCUUUUACCUAUAGGAACUAUUUUUUUUUUGAGGUAAGAUAUAUGAAAGUGCUUUAUAAAUAGCGAAGGUUACGUAAGUGUAAGGUGAUGCUUUCAUUACCCCUUCCUAUGGAGGCUGCAGGCGAGGCCUCGGCUCCCACUCCACUGGAAGCCUGACCCAGAUUGGACUCUCAGGAAGACGUCUUAUGUAAGAAUUGGCUAAAUUGAAAACAGUUCCUCUUCCAAGUCCAAAUUCGGUUUGAUUUAUUUCAAUUAAAAUUGUUUUUACUAAGUGUUCACCACAUGCCCAGGCCUAGCUGACGGUAGAAAGGAACAUGAUAUAAGCGUGGUUCCUGUCUUCACGGAAUUUAUCGUUUAGUGGAGUGGAUUAAAAAAAAGAGAGAGUGGAAGUUGUUUUGUUGAAUGAAAUUUUAGUUAAAAUGAAACGAAGAGGGGGCUUCAGUUGAGCUGGAAAUGAAAGGGGCUGGAGGUGCUGCGGCUGGGGCUCACCCUUUCUCCUCAGGGCCCUGUGAGGCUUUCUCAGAGGCCAGUUCAGAAAGCACUCAUUUCCAUAAGGCUUCUAGAAGAACACAGGAGGAUGCUUUCGUGGCCUGGGGAUGGGCAAAGAAUUUUUAAGAUGCAAAAAAGCACAAAGUAUAAAAGGAAAAAGAUGAUCAAUUAGACUACAUCAAAAUUGAAAGCUUCUGAUCAUAAAAUGACACUUUUUUUAAUAUUUAUUUUUUAGUUCUCGGCGGACACAACAUCUUUGUUGGUAUGUGGUGCUGAGGAUCGAACCCAGGCCGCACGCAUGCCAGGCGAGCGCGCUACCGCUUGAGCCACAUCCCCAGCCCAUAAAAUGACACUUUUAAAACAAAUAAGGAAGCCAGAUUGGGAAAAGAUAUUAGCAUCACAUACACCUGAUAAUAGUCUUGUAUUGAUCAAAACAUUGAUCAAAAGGCUUGAACAGAUACUUUAUAAAAUAAUGUACAUAAAUGCCCAAUAAAC
Molecule: long non-coding RNA, 3360 nt
Filed under: Marmota monax (woodchuck)
Lineage: Eukaryota; Metazoa; Chordata; Mammalia; Rodentia; Sciuridae
Source: RNAcentral